GACGAACGCUGGCGGCGUGCCUAAUACAUGCAAGUCGAACGCUGAAGGAGGAGCUUGCUUCUCUGGAUGAGUUGCGAACGGGUGAGUAACGCGUAGGUAACCUGCCUGGUAGCGGGGGAUAACUAUUGGAAACGAUAGCUAAUACCGCAUAAGAGUAGAUGUCGCAUGACAUUUGCUUAAAAGGUGCAAUUGCAUCACUACCAGAUGGACCUGCGUUGUAUUAGCUAGUUGGUGAGGUAACGGCUCACCAAGGCAACGAUACAUAGCCGACCUGAGAGGGUGAUCGGCCACACUGGGACUGAGACACGGCCCAGACUCCUACGGGAGGCAGCAGUAGGGAAUCUUCGGCAAGGGACGGAAGUCUGACCGAGCAACGCCGCGUGAGUGAAGAAGGUUGUCGGAUCGUAAAGCUCUGUUGUAAGAGAAGAACGAGUGUGAGAGUGGAAAGUUCACACUGUGACGGUAUCUUACCAGAAAGGGACGGCUAACUACGUG
Molecule: ribosomal RNA, 495 nt
Filed under: uncultured bacterium
Lineage: Bacteria
Description: partial 16S ribosomal RNA
Rfam family: Bacterial small subunit ribosomal RNA
Source: RNAcentral